AUUGGGUUUAAAGGGUCCGUAGGUGGAUAUUAAGUCAGAGGUGGAUCUUGCAGCUCAACUGUAAAAUUGCCUUUGAUACUGGUUAUCUUGAGUUACUAUGAAGUAGUUAGAAUAUGUAGUGUAGCGGUGAAAUGCAUAGAUAUUACAUAGAAUACCAAUUGCGAAGGCAGAUUACUAAUAAUCAACUGACACUGAUGGACGAAAGCGUGGGUAGCGAACAGGAUUAGAUACCCUGGUAGUCCACGCCGUAAACGAUGGUUACUAGUUGUUGGAAUUAUUCAGUGACUAAGCGAAAGUGAUAAGUGUCCCACCUGGGGAGUACGAUCGCAAGAUUGAAACUCAAAGGAAUUGACGGGGGCCCGCACAAGCGGUGGAGCAUGUGGUUUAAUUCGAUGAUACGCGAGGAACCUUACCAGGGCUUAAAUGUAAGAUGCAUUAGUUAGAGAUAGCUAUUUCUUCGGACUUCUUACAAGGUGCUGCAUGGUU
Molecule: ribosomal RNA, 486 nt
Filed under: uncultured Flavobacteriaceae bacterium
Lineage: Bacteria; Pseudomonadati; Bacteroidota; Flavobacteriia; Flavobacteriales; Flavobacteriaceae
Description: bacterial SSU rRNA
Rfam family: Bacterial small subunit ribosomal RNA
Source: RNAcentral